ACAGAUAAGACCAUUUACAAAGAGAUAUAGCUUUUGGUAAUGGCGUCCUCUGCAGCUUCCACUCUCUGCUGGACUUCUUCUUCUUUUCUUCAGAGCUUUAGCAGCCCUACAAAUGAAGCCACCAAGUUACCAGAAAAGAAAACAGUCUUGGUGGUUUUUGCCCAAAAGAAAGCCAAAAAGGUUCGGAAGAUAAUUUUGAAAGAGGAUGUGGCAGACCUGGGGAAAAAGGGGCAAUUACUGGAUGUGAAGGCAGGAUAUUUCAGGAAUUAUCUCCUGCCGAUGGGCAAGGCCCAGAUUGUUACUCCGCUGUUGCUCAAGGAAAUGCGGAUGGAAGAGGAAAGAAUUGAGGCUGAGAAGAAGCGGGUAAAAGAAGAGGCUCAACAACUUGCUCUAAUAUUUGAAACUGUUGGAGCAUUCAAAGUCAGGCGCAAAGGUGGAAAAGGAAAGCAGAUUUUUGGAAGUGUUACAGCUCAAGAUCUUGUGGACAUAAUCAAGGCACAGCUUCAAAGGGAUGUAGAUAAGCGAAUUGUUUCUCUUCCUGAGAUCCGUGAGACAGGAGAAUAUAUUGCAGAACUGAGACUUCAUCCAGAAGUGACUGCUCGAGUAAGGUUGAACGUUUAUGCCAAUUAAGGUCAAAACACCAUAUGGAUUCCUGCCAUCAGAUUGACAUCUGUGUAGGAACUUGCUUUUUCUCGAGGAAAAGUAUGGUGAGUGCAGGUCCUAUGCCAAACAAGAUCAUUGAUGAGUCAGAAAUGUCCUGUUAAGUGAACAGAAGUGUAUCAAGUCAAUAACCUAAAAAUGCCAGUAUCAGUUUGUCACUCACCAUUUGUAGAAUUCAGUGGGCUCCUAACGACUUUCAUAUUGCUGGGUUUUUGCUUUUUGGAGGGCCCUUUUCUGUAAUUUAAUGCUUUGUUAUAUUUUUUCAACCUUUCUGGACAAGCAACUCUCUUAGGUCAAUGGUGCUAGAAAUGUGAUAAAAUAAAAGCCACAUCAUAUGUGAAUCUGUCAUGAAUUUGAGUUUGAAAUUUACUGUUUAAAAUGGUUAUAACUUAUCUUUUUAA
Molecule: RNA transcript, 1061 nt
Organism: Carica papaya (papaya)
Lineage: Eukaryota; Viridiplantae; Streptophyta; Magnoliopsida; Brassicales; Caricaceae
Gene: RPL9
Gene name: ribosomal protein L9
Source: RefSeq, a predicted model, not a curated record